RNAcentral lists this long non-coding RNA (519 nucleotides) under Pan troglodytes (chimpanzee). RNAcentral's name for it is "lincRNA". The record is from RNAcentral. Lineage: Eukaryota; Metazoa; Chordata; Mammalia; Primates; Hominidae.
GAUGCCCACCUCUCAUCACAGGCCCAUGCUGGGGCCAUGCGCACGGAUUACCUGGAAUGACUGGCCCGCAGAACCCAUCACUGAAUCACAGGCCCAUGCUGGGGCCAUGCACACGGAUUACCUGGAAUGACUGGCCCACAGAAUCCAUCACUGGAUCACAGGCCCAUGCUGGGGCCAUGCGCACGGAUUACCUGGAAUGACUGGCCCACAGAACCCAUUACUUGGGGGUGUUUGAUGAGAGAGACAAAGUGAGAAGGCGAAUUAAAUACGUUUUGAUGAAGAUAGACAGAGCUUCACUCUUGCUGCCCAGGCUGCAGUACAAUGGUGCGAUCUCAGUUCACCACAACCUCCGCCUCCCAGGUUCAAGUGAUUCUCCUGCUUCAGCCUCCUGAGUAGCUGGGAUUACAGAGCCUGACUUUCUCAUCGAAACCAUGGCUGCUUGGACCCAGGCUCUCCCCAUGAGGUAAUGAAUGUGCAAGCACUUUGCAGGGAAAAUAAGUGCCUGACACCUGACCUAAA